RNAcentral lists this ribosomal RNA (440 nucleotides) under uncultured bacterium. RNAcentral's name for it is "partial 16S ribosomal RNA". It matches the Rfam family "Bacterial small subunit ribosomal RNA", at positions 338 to 795 of the family's 1533-position model. The record is from RNAcentral.
CCUACGGGGGGCAGCAGUGGGGAAUAUUGCACAAUGGGGGAAACCCUGAUGCAGCGACGCCGCGUGAGUGAAGAAGUCUUUCGGUAUGUAAAGCUCUAUCAGCAGGGAAGAAAAUGACGGUACCUGAUUAAUAAGCCCCGGCUAACUACGUGCCAGCAGCCGCGGUCAUACGUAGGGGGCAAGCGUUAUCCGGAUUUACUGGGUGUAAAGGGAGCGUUGACGGGAAAAAAAGACUGGGGUGAAAUGCCGGGGCUUAACCCCGGAACUGCUUUGGAAACUGUGAAGCUAGAGUGCAGGAGAGGUAAGUGGAAUUCCUAGUGUAGCGGUGAAAUGCGUAGAUAUUAGGAGGAACACCAGUAGCGAAGGCGGCUUACUGGACUGUAACUGACGUUGAGGCUCGAAAGCGUGGGGAGCAAACAGGAUUAGAUACCCGUGUAGUC